CACGGCCCGGACCGCGGCCUGACGGACCUCCGGGCUCGGGUCGUGGGCGGCGACGGCGCGCAGCCGCUCGGGCAGUUCGGCGUCGCCGGCCCCGACC
Molecule: transfer RNA, 97 nt
Filed under: Catellatospora citrea
Lineage: Bacteria; Bacillati; Actinomycetota; Actinomycetes; Micromonosporales; Micromonosporaceae
Description: tRNA-Pro
Source: RNAcentral